AGUGAACGCUGGCGAUAGGCCUAACACAUGCAAGUCGAACGGCAGCACAGUAAGAGCUUGCUCUUACGGGUGGCGAGUGGCGGACGGGUGAGGAAUACAUCGGAAUCUACUUUUUCGUGGGGGAUAACGUAGGGAAACUUACGCUAAUACCGCAUACGACCUACGGGUGAAAGCAGGGGAUCUUCGGACCUUGCGCGAUUGAAUGAGCCGAUGUCGGAUUAGCUAGUUGGCGGGGUAAAGGCCCACCAAGGCGACGAUCCGUAGCUGGUCUGAGAGGAUGAUCAGCCACACUGGAACUGAGACACGGUCCAGACUCCUACGGGAGGCAGCAGUGGGGAAUAUUGGACAAUGGGCGCAAGCCUGAUCCAGCCAUACCGCGUGGGUGAAGAAGGCCUUCGGGUUGUAAAGCCCUUUUGUCGGGAAAGAAAAGCAGCAGGUUAAUACCCCGCUGUUCUGACGGUACCCAAAGAAUAAGCACCGGCUAACUUCGUG
This 492-nucleotide ribosomal RNA is filed under the name uncultured bacterium. Its description in RNAcentral is "partial 16S ribosomal RNA". It matches the Rfam family "Bacterial small subunit ribosomal RNA", at positions 29 to 507 of the family's 1533-position model. The record is from RNAcentral.